Molecule: ribosomal RNA, 240 nt
Filed under: Bacillus cereus
Lineage: Bacteria; Bacillati; Bacillota; Bacilli; Caryophanales; Bacillaceae
Description: partial 16S ribosomal RNA
Rfam family: Bacterial small subunit ribosomal RNA
Source: RNAcentral
GGCGUAAGCGCGCGCAGGUGGUUUCUUAAGUCUGAUGUGAAAGCCCACGGCUCAACCGUGGAGGGUCAUUGGAAACUGGGAGACUUGAGUGCAGAAGAGGAAAGUGGAAUUCCAUGUGUAGCGGUGAAAUGCGUAGAGAUAUGGAGGAACACCAGUGGCGAAGGCGACUUUCUGGUCUGUAACUGACACUGAGGCGCGAAAGCGUGGGGAGCAAACAGGAUUAUAUACCCUGGUAGUCCA